Molecule: ribosomal RNA, 347 nt
Filed under: uncultured bacterium
Lineage: Bacteria
Description: partial 16S ribosomal RNA
Rfam family: Bacterial small subunit ribosomal RNA
Source: RNAcentral
CCUACGGGUGGCAGCAGUGAGGAAUAUUGGUCAAUGGGCGCGAGCCUGAACCAGCCAAGUAGCGUGAAGGAUGACUGCCCUACGGGUUGUAAACUUCUGUUAUAAAGGAAUAAAGUGAGGCACGUGUGCGGUUUUGUAUGUACUUUAUGAAUAAGGAUCGGCUAACUCCGUGCCAGCAGCCGCGGUAAUACGGAGGAUCCGAGCGUUAUCCGGAUUUAUGGGGUUUAAAGGGAGCGUAGAGGGGUUGUUAAGUCAGUUGUGAAAGUUUGCGGCUCAACCGUAAAAUUGCAAUUGAUACGGGCAGUCUUGUGUACAGUUGCGUUAGGCGGACUUCGUGGUGUAGCGGU